Molecule: ribosomal RNA, 495 nt
Filed under: uncultured bacterium
Lineage: Bacteria
Description: partial 16S ribosomal RNA
Rfam family: Bacterial small subunit ribosomal RNA
Source: RNAcentral
GACGAACGCUGGCGGCGUGCCUAAUACAUGCAAGUAGAACGCUGAAGGAGGAGCUUGCUCUUCUGGAUGAGUUGCGAACGGGUGAGUAACGCGUAGGUAACCUGCCUGGUAGCGGGGGAUAACUAUUGGAAACGAUAGCUAAUACCGCAUAACAGUAGAUGUUGCAUGACAUUUACUUAAAAGGUGCAAUUGCAUCACUACCAGAUGGACCUGCGUUGUAUUAGCUAGUUGGUGGGGUAACGGCUCACCAAGGCGACGAGACAUAGCCGACCUGAGAGGGUGAUCGGCCAACCUGGGACCGAGACACGGCCCCGACUCCUUCGGGAGGCAGCAGUAGGGAAUCUUCGGCAAUGGACGGAAGUCUGACCGAGGAACGCCGCGUGAGUGAAGAAGGUUUUCGGAUCGUAAAGCUCUGUUGUAAGAGAAGAACGAGUGUGAGAGUGGAAAGUUCACACUGUGACGGUAUCUAACCAGAAAGGGACGGCUAACUACGUG